RNAcentral lists this ribosomal RNA (468 nucleotides) under uncultured bacterium. Its description in RNAcentral is "partial 16S ribosomal RNA". It matches the Rfam family "Bacterial small subunit ribosomal RNA", at positions 355 to 813 of the family's 1533-position model. The record is from RNAcentral.
UGGGGAAUUUUGGACAAUGGGCGCAAGCCUGAUCCAGCCAUGCCGCGUGCGGGAAGAAGGCCUUCGGGUUGUAAACCGCUUUUGUCAGGGAAGAAAUCUUCUGAGUUAAUACCUCGGGAGGAUGACGGUACCUGAAGAAUAAGCACCGGCUAACUACGUGCCAGCAGCCGCGGUAAUACGUAGGGUGCAAGCGUUAAUCGGAAUUACUGGGCGUAAAGCGUGCGCAGGCGGUUUUGUAAGACAGAGGUGAAAUCCCCGGGCUCAACCUGGGAACUGCCUUUGUGACUGCAAGGCUUGAGUGCGGCAGAGGGGGAUGGAAUUCCGCGUGUAGCAGUGAAAUGCGUAGAUAUGCGGAGGAACACCGAUGGCGAAGGCAAUCCCCUGGGCCUGCACCGACGCUCAUGCACGAAAGCGUGGGGAGCAAAACAGGAUUAGAUACCCUGGUAGUCCACGCCCUAAAACGAUGUC